RNAcentral lists this ribosomal RNA (1352 nucleotides) under uncultured bacterium. Its description in RNAcentral is "bacterial SSU rRNA". It matches the Rfam family "Bacterial small subunit ribosomal RNA", at positions 28 to 1381 of the family's 1533-position model. The record is from RNAcentral.
AUUGAACGCUGGCGGCAUGCUUUACACAUGCAAGUCGAACGGUAACAGGGAGCUUGCUCCGCUGACGAGUGGCGAACGGGUGAGUAAUAUAUCGGAACGUACCCAAGAGUGGGGGAUAACGUAGCGAAAGUUACGCUAAUACCGCAUACGAUCCAAGGAUGAAAGCAGGGGACCUUCGGGCCUUGUGCUCCUGGAGCGGCCGAUAUCUGAUUAGCUAGUUGGUGAGGUAAAGGCUCACCAAGGCGACGAUCAGUAGCUGGUCUGAGAGGACGACCAGCCACACUGGAACUGAGACACGGUCCAGACUCCUACGGGAGGCAGCAGUGGGGAAUUUUGGACAAUGGGCGCAAGCCUGAUCCAGCAAUGCCGCGUGAGUGAAGAAGGCCUUCGGGUUGUAAAGCUCUUUUGUCAGGGAAGAAACGGCUGUGGCUAAUAUCCACGGCUAAUGACGGUACCUGAAGAAUAAGCACCGGCUAACUACGUGCCAGCAGCCGCGGUAAUACGUAGGGUGCAAGCGUUAAUCGGAAUUACUGGGCGUAAAGCGUGCGCAGGCGGUUUUGUAAGUCUGUCGUGAAAUCCCCGGGCUCAACCUGGGAAUUGCGAUGGAGACUGCAAGGCUAGAAUCUGGCAGAGGGGGGUAGAAUUCCACGUGUAGCAGUGAAAUGCGUAGAGAUGUGGAGGAACACCGAUGGCGAAGGCAGCCCCCUGGGUCAAGAUUGACGCUCAUGCACGAAAGCGUGGGGAGCAAACAGGAUUAGAUACCCUGGUAGUCCACGCCCUAAACGAUGUCUACUAGUUGUCGGGUUUUAAUUAACUUGGUAACGCAGCUAACGCGUGAAGUAGACCGCCUGGGGAGUACGGUCGCAAGAUUAAAACUCAAAGGAAUUGACGGGGACCCGCACAAGCGGUGGAUGAUGUGGAUUAAUUCGAUGCAACGCGAAAAACCUUACCUACCCUUGACAUGUCAGGAAGACCGGAGAGAUCUGGUUGUGCCCGAAAGGGAACCUGAACACAGGUGCUGCAUGGCUGUCGUCAGCUCGUGUCGCGAGAUGUUGGGUUAAGUCCCGCAACGAGCGCAACCCUUGUCAUUAGUUGCUACGCAAGAGCACUCUAAUGAGACUGCCGGUGACAAACCGGAGGAAGGUGGGGAUGACGUCAAGUCCUCAUGGCCCUUAUGGGUAGGGCUUCACACGUCAUACAAUGGUACAUACAGAGGGCCGCCAACCCGCGAGGGGGAGCUAAUCCCAGAAAGUGUAUCGUAGUCCGGAUCGUAGUCUGCAACUCGACUACGUGAAGUUGGAAUCGCUAGUAAUCGCGGAUCAGCAUGCCGCGGUGAAUACGUUCCCGGGUCU